Molecule: unclassified non-coding RNA, 167 nt
Filed under: uncultured Oidiodendron
Lineage: Eukaryota; Fungi; Ascomycota; Leotiomycetes; Myxotrichaceae
Description: sequence contains ITS1
Source: RNAcentral
CAGAGUUCUCGCCCUCGCGGGUAGAUCUCCCACCCACUGUUAUUGCUACUGUGUUGCUUUGGCGGGCUGCUAGGCCCAGCCUGGCCGCCGGCUCCGGCUGGCGCGCGCCCGCCAGAGGCCCGAUUAAUUCUGAUUGUCAGUGUCGUCUGAGUACUAUAUAAUAGUUA